UUCUCCCUCUCCCACAUACAAGUGGGAAAGUUAUGAUGUUCUGAACAAUCUUCGUCCUCUAGACCCCAAAUCUACUGUCAACGGAGGUUUUUUGAGUCUUUUUGAUGUCACCAAAGAGACGUCGGGAAUCUACAUCUGCACAUCCACCAACAUAGGUGGCUCUGCUUCAAGCAACGUCACGCUCUCGAUUUUGUCACGUAUGUGGUCUUUUGAAUUUUAUUUUAGGACAUACUUCUUUGCAGCAUAACUCAUAUUUGUCUCUUGUUCCUUGACUCUAAAUGUCCUUCGAUCUUGUAGCACCCAUGAGCAUGAACAGUAUUGCAGGAAUCAUUUGUGGAGUUGCUGCCUUUUUGAUUUUACCGGCUAUCAUCAUCCUUUGCUGCUACUGGAGAAAAAAAAAGCAACCUGAGGAGGCUUAUGUGAUGGGAGUUCCUAACAAAGACCCAGUUGCUAAUGAUGAAAAUCACCACCCUGAGAGAGAAGAGCUUACUGGGUUAUAGUGAUACCAAGGGCCGCAUAGAUGGUUCACUAUGCGGAAAAGAGAGAGCACAAUGAUGACCACUGCAGUGACUUUGAUGACCAACGGAGAAACUAGAGCAGGGGUCCCCAGACGACGGCACGGGGGCCGGACCUGGCCUGCCCACGCAUUUGACCUGGCCCCUGAAUGAUACUAGAGAGAGGCACUUUUUUUUGUUUUUGCAUUAUUAUUUCUUUUUAGCCUGACCCCGUGAUCGAGACUAAUGGAAGCACUGGACUAGUGGAAAACUGGGAUGAAGUGGGUCUGCCCAACGGAAUCCCUAGAAUUGUUUAUUCACCUCAAUAACGCUUAUUUGAAUUAAAAUGUGAGCCAACCUUUUCUACUGCAAUCUCACUUUGCCCCAGUCAUAGAAUUUGAACAUGACACGGAACGGAAAAAUGACAAAAAGGUUAGGGAAGAGAAAAAUUGAUUCAGAAUGCAGGGUAUUUAACCUGCAGAACAAACAAGUAUGUUUUUGUUCAACAUAAAUAAAUGACUGUUUGUCUCAUCUGUCAAUAGAUGGUGGCGGUAUUCAAAGAGUACAGUCUACACUGAAAUUAUGAAUCACAUUAUAAAGAGAAAUAUGAUGGCUUGCAAGGGCAGAUGCGAGCAAACUCUCAAAGCUGAAAAGUGGACUGUUAGCUCAACAGACUGUGUUACUAUAUAUUUCCUGACUUUUAAUGUGAAGAACCCAGAGAGGUUUUUUUUAUUGAUUUCAAAAAUAGUUUUAUUAAAUAUUUGCUGAUUGUUAUCAUUAUUUUUAAUUUUUUUUUGGUAAAGAACCCAAUGAGUAUUAUUUAAUAUCAGAUCGGGUUAUGUAUAUUUGGUUAUCUGUAGCUUUCUGGGAAACAAUAAAUGUUUACAUUUAGACACCCUUACGAUCGUCACACUUUUUCUGUUUCAAACUGACCCUGGCCCCCGUUUAGAGAAUGGAAACGUCAUGUGGCCGUCACUGGAAAUAGUUUGGGGACCCCUGAACUAAAGCGACCGUUGUGACAGUGAGCGUUAUAUGACGACCGCCACUAUGAUGAUGAGCGCCGUUAUGACGAUCGCUAAGAUCGUCAUAACGGGGGGCGAAGACAAUGACUGCUGAAACGUAAAACAGAUCAUUAGUGCAACUUUAGAGGUCAUCAAGCAAGGUUAGAGUAAGACUAUCCAGCAGAUUAAAGAUGUAUUAAAACCACCUCUGUCUUGUAUUCACUGGUUGUGCGGAUGAUGGCCGUUAUCAAUCUAUUGAUCACAACUGAAAAAGCAAAAAAAAUGUUUUCUUCUCUUUUGUGCUUUGAGUUUUAUGUAAUGUCACAGCAGUUCUGGCAUGAUUGUAUUUCAGUCUUACACAUUACUCGACACAAGCAAUAACACAAAAUAGGUGACUCAGAUGCUGCAAUUUAAUGUGGAAGUUGUGGUUUUAACUUAAAAUGUUUGGCUGUGUCUCUUUUGCAUGUAAGUAUUGAUAUUCUCAUGUCUGAUAACCUCUGGGGUUGGUAACAGGGUCAUUUUAGUUUCAUUGUUUUAAUAAAGCUUCUUAUGUAUACAUUUAAA
This is a long non-coding RNA of Oryzias latipes (Japanese medaka), 2059 nucleotides long. RefSeq lists it as uncharacterized. The record is from RefSeq and is a predicted model, not a curated record. Lineage: Eukaryota; Metazoa; Chordata; Actinopteri; Beloniformes; Adrianichthyidae.